AAAGGUAAUAUGACGAUGGCUCUGAUGGCCAUUCCAGAAGAAGAAUUUCAAAACUGCUUUGAUGGGUGGUCUAGGCGCUGGCGUCAGUGCGUAGCUUCCCAAGGGGAGUACUUUGAAGGUGACCAUAGUGAUAUUCAGCAGUGAGAUUUAUCAGCAGGUUGCAGGUGAACAUGGCCUUGAGGUUAAAUCCUGCCCCUUGUUGAAAUUUAGUUUCAGCAGAUUGUUGAUGGUAUUUUAAGGGAUUGGAAUAUUUUGCAAAACAACAGAAGUUUUGUUUGGUUCUGUUCUAGACUUAUGUUUUCUUCCAAAUAAAUGAGAAAAAUAUUUCAACAAAGGUUCUUUAUGAUGAAUAAUUCUGAUGCUUGAAGUUGGUCAUUUGCCUUGUUUAAGUGGAUUUUAAAUGUCAUAGACAAUUCUAGUCAGAUUUUUCUUGGUCAAAUAAAAAUUUUAUUACAACCUUA
Molecule: long non-coding RNA, 461 nt
Organism: Carlito syrichta (Philippine tarsier)
Lineage: Eukaryota; Metazoa; Chordata; Mammalia; Primates; Tarsiidae
Exons: 2
Source: RefSeq, a predicted model, not a curated record